GCCACGGUGGUCUAGCGGUUAGAACUCUGGCUUUGUAAUCCUGGGGUCUCGGGUUCGAUUCCCGGCGGUGCCC
This 73-nucleotide transfer RNA is filed under the name Zootermopsis nevadensis. It matches the Rfam family "tRNA". Rfam says of the family: Transfer RNA (tRNA) molecules are approximately 80 nucleotides in length. Their secondary structure includes four short double-helical elements and three loops (D, anti-codon, and T loops). Lineage: Eukaryota; Metazoa; Arthropoda; Insecta; Blattodea; Termopsidae. The record is from Rfam by way of RNAcentral.